RNAcentral lists this microRNA precursor (97 nucleotides) under Marmota monax (woodchuck). Lineage: Eukaryota; Metazoa; Chordata; Mammalia; Rodentia; Sciuridae. The record is from RNAcentral.
GUAUGAUGCACCCGGGGAUCUUGUUAAAAUACAGAUUCAGUAUGUCUGGCCCGUUCUGAGGGUCUGCAUUUCUAACAAGCUCCCAGGUGAUGGCAAC